UACGUAGGGGGCGAGCGUUGUCCGGAUUUAUUGGGCGUAAAGAGCUCGUAGGCGGUUUGGUAAGUUGGAUGUGAAAUCUCCAGGCUCAACUUGGAGGGGUCAUUCGAUACUGCCAUGACUAGAGUUCGGUAGGGGAGUGUGGAAUUCCUGGUGGAGCGGUGAAAUGCAUUGAGAUCGGAAAGAACACCAACGGCGAAAGCACUCUGCUGGGCCGACACUGACACUGAGAGACGAAAGCUAGGGGAGCAAAUGGG
Molecule: ribosomal RNA, 254 nt
Filed under: uncultured bacterium
Lineage: Bacteria
Description: partial 16S ribosomal RNA
Rfam family: Bacterial small subunit ribosomal RNA
Source: RNAcentral